GGAUGGAGCCCCAUAUCAGGCUCUCUGCUCGGCAGGGAGCCUGCUUCCUCCUCUCUCUCUGCCUGCCUCUCUGCCUGCUUGUGAUCUCUGUCAAAUNUCUUCGGUCAAGGGUAUACGAGUAGCUGCGCUCCCCUGCUAGAACCUCCAAACAAGCUCUCAAGGUCCAUUUGUAGGAGAACGUAGGGUAGUCAAGCUUCCAAGACUCCAGACACAUCCAAAUGAGGCGCUGCACGUGGCAGUCUGCCUUUCUUU
RNAcentral lists this small nuclear RNA (252 nucleotides) under Neogale vison (American mink). RNAcentral describes it as "Neovison vison (American mink) 7SK RNA (ENSNVIG00000008525.1)". It matches the Rfam family "7SK RNA". From Rfam's summary of the family: 7SK was discovered as an abundant small nuclear RNA in the mid-70s but a possible function has only recently been suggested. Two independent studies have found that 7SK RNA binds the CDK9/cyclin T complex (known as elongation factor P-TEFb). The record is from Rfam by way of RNAcentral. Lineage: Eukaryota; Metazoa; Chordata; Mammalia; Carnivora; Mustelidae.